Non-coding RNA from Triticum aestivum (bread wheat), 125 nucleotides. NCBI's taxonomy places the organism in Eukaryota, Viridiplantae, Streptophyta, Magnoliopsida, Poales, Poaceae. The record is from Rfam.
UAAGUAUUGCCUCUGUCCGGAAAUACUUGUCGGAGAAAUGGAUAAAAAUAGAUGUAUCCAAAACUAAAAUACAUCUAGAUACAUCCAUUUCUUUGACAAGUAUUUUCAGACGGAGGGAGUACUCA